UUCAGCAGUAAAGUUAUGACGAUCAUUUAUUAAUACAGUGAUCACUGAUGGUUACAAUAUCAACAACUGAACACACUGUAUUGGCAUGCAGGGGUGUCAUGCACCCCAAAAAUCAGAGUGGGCACAAAUUACAUAAGGAUGGCUGGGGGGGGUGGUCUGGAGUGAUGGGAAGAUGGAUCAUUUAGCAUUUUUCAACCACCUGAAAACAGCUUUUUCCUGCAAUCUAGAGCCAUAAUCAUUUUGUCAAAAAUAUUUGUAUUUUUCAAAAUAUCUAAGCAAACCUCUUGAGCUGUCUGUAUAAUCAUGACUGGUGUCUUUUUGUUUUAAAUAACAAAUGUUAUUCUCUGCAUCUCUGCAAAAAUCUGAGUAAAAGAUGGAAAGGAAUGUGAGUCUUAUUCAGUACAUUUAGUAAUUGCUUGCUUUUCUAAAAUCUACCAGCCUUUUCAGCAUGCAUGCCAACUAAGAUAGUUAGACAAGCUAGCUACUCUAACUUGAUUGAUAGCCUGAAACGACUUCUUGGUAGCUAGUUAUGAGGUUGGGAACUUAUCUGGGCUAGGUAAAGCCAACAACAACAAAAUGUUUUACCAAAAAAUGGAUACAUCUUUUUUAAACCGGAUAUGCAUGAUGCCUCUGUUGGCAUGCUAUAAUAGCUGGUGCUGAGUUGUUUAAAAAGGUUGGCUACAAAACAAUGUUUUAGCUUUUCGUUAACGCUGCAACUUUGGAUUGCAAUAUUUAUUGACUGGUCACUUUUACACAUUUGUUUUGUUUAGUUUGGUAGGAUUUAGUGCUCUACUUAAUAACAGUAAACUGGCUUUCUACUCUGCUGGAGGUGGAGAAACUGGGGACCCAACCUGUUCACGGGAUUUCACAUAAUCCAUCCAUUUUAGGGAAGGAAAUUAAUUUCAAUACACUGGGAGUUCUUGGUAGCAUUUUGUUUAAAGGUUCAGCUACCGGUUGUUUACCUGGUAUAUGGAAUGGUGUUCUAAUUUAGUAUCAACGAAACAAAUCAAUUAUUCAUAGGUAUUAUUGUAUAAUUACCAUUUUACCAUGCAAUUUCUAUGUACAUACCAAUAAUUCCAUAAAAAGAUUUCAUGCAAAAUAGUUGAGAUUUUAAUAACCAAGUAUUGUAAAUCUGAGUCAUUAGUGAAAACAGCAUACAUGGGAGACCCUGCAGGGCUGAGAUCCCUUGUAAAGACGGGUAGGUUGUUUAGCAACAAAACCGAACCAUGUACAACUAAUGGGGCAAAACAUACAGGGUUGGCUUGGAUUGUUGAUCACAGGUAAACUAUAUUUUGUCUCCAAUGUUUACUGAAAAAAUAAAUACAAUUGCACAAUGAGCACUCAAAUACAUUGUUACAGUUGUUGGUUAGCUAGCUAGCUCGCAAAUCUUUGCCAUAAUAGCAUAGAUGUGACGUGGCAUAAGUCAAAACACCUCACAACAAGACAAGUACAAGAGCAAACGAGCCACUUACGAUUCCCCACACGUCAGUUUUGCUAGCUAUCUGGCCACCCAGAAGCAUAACAACACACAGCUUCUGCCCCUUUGAAGCGCACACAAUGUUUUCAUGACGUUGUCAGCGAACCCGUCUAUAGCACAGAGGUCCCAGCUGCCUCUGUCAUGACUCUAAGACAUGGACAUACAUACAUACACAACACCAUAAGAGGCCCCGGUCGGAGCGUUGAAAUCAUGUCAUUGACCUGAGCCGUACAUCUAUAUGAGCAUUGACUGUAUCUCAAAUGAUACCCUAUUCCCGGUUGAACACUCAUGUCGGGAUUCCACCUCUACUCUUUCUCACUCACUCACACACAAACGUGCACAAAGAUGCACAAUCGUAAGGCAGACAUACAAAAAAAUGAAAUGUCAACAAUACAUAAAUUAAGCAAAAUGUAAACAUAGGUCUAUAUAUCUCAAAAUGUGGCACAAAAACAUAUAACAUCAAUAAAAUCAAUAAAUAAUACGAUUUAUCAGAAUCAGACAAAACUAAAAACACACAAAUAUUACAAGAACAUACAAAUAAAUCCAAACAGCAGUGUUCCAGACCAAAGUCGGCACACACACAUCAUGAUGUGUUAUUAUAAUACAUGAUAAAUAACCUAUAGGAGCGCGUAAGACAGAGGUGGUAAGUGGGAGGAGCUAUAGGAAUGGAAUAAAUGGAACGUAUCAAACAUAUGAAACCACGUUAAACUCCACUCCGGCCAUUACAAUGAGCCAGUCCUCCUAUAGCUUCUCCCACCAGCCAGAGUAAGCCACAUUUACACAUCCACAGACCAAAUCAAUUGCACAGUUCAUUGUUAUCUAAUGCCAUAGAUAUGGACACAAUAGUCAGAUAUCAUCCAUGUAGCAGCAAAAAAGCAAAGAUGCAAAUGAAAGGCUAAAGUUAGUGUUUCAUCAACAUAUCUUCUCUAAAUGUCUGAAGUUGGUAUUUACAGUGAUUAGGAACAUCAUGAAAAUACAGUGUAUGUCGGCUACUGUAUAUAUUUAUGUGGGUUAAUAAUGUAAUGUCUAUUCAAAUAUGUGCAUCGCUUUGGAGAUGCUAGGGCCUAUAUGGAGCAUGCCAGACCACAAGGGGGAACUGUGAGAGGACAGGGAGACACAGGGGUCAAAGACUGCUAAGGAGAAGGAUGACGUUGCCCCUUAGCACUAAUGCAGGGUCAGUAUUCAUUCAUUAUCUUAAUGGUUAAAGUUAGCAUCAAGGGUGGGGUGAGCUGAUCCUAGACCUGUGCCUCAGGGAAACUUCUCCACAGUGUCAGAGACUGCUAAGCUCAUAUGGAGUAGGAGGACGUUGCCCCUAGAUGCUGGUCCAAGGUCAAUCUUGUGUUGGGGAGGGUAAGCUGAUCCUAGAUCAGUGCUUACUUGGAACUUUUACCAGCAGAGUCAUUCAGUGGAGGAGUUUAAGGUACUGAGAGAAGCUCAUGGCACAGUAGCAUUAAGGAAUGGUGUUUCUUUACAAUAAGUUACAAUAAUGAGAGAGGGGGGAAAAGAAAGUGAGAGAGACGAGAGAGAGGGGGGAGAGGGGAGAGAACGUGAGAAAGAGAGAG
This is a long non-coding RNA of Oncorhynchus tshawytscha (Chinook salmon), 3039 nucleotides long. The record is from Ensembl. NCBI's taxonomy places the organism in Eukaryota, Metazoa, Chordata, Actinopteri, Salmoniformes, Salmonidae.